GUAAGAGCUCACCAAGGCGACGAUCGGUAGCUGGUCUGAGAGGACGAUCAGCCACACUGGGAUUGAGAACGGCCCAGACUCUACGGGGGGCAGCAGUGAGGAAUUUUCGGCAAUGGGGGCAACCCUGACCGAGCAACGCCGCGUGCAGGACGAAGGUCUUCGGAUCGUAAACUGCUUUUCUCGGGGAAGAGCGAGGACGGUACCCGAGGAAUCAGCCCCGGCUAACUACGUGCCAGCAGCCGCGGUAAUACGUAGGGGGCGAGCGUUAUCCGGAGUUACUGGGCGUAAAGCGCACGCAGGCGGUCGUGCAAGUUCGGGGUUACAGCUCCCGGCUCAACUGGGAGAGCGCCUCGAAGACUGCGCGACUGGAGGGCCACAGAGGGACGCAGAAUUCCGGGUGUAGUGGUGAAAUGCGUAGAUAUCCGGAGGAAUACCAAAGGCGAAGGCAGUGUCCUGGGUGGCACCUGACGCUCAGGUGCGAAAGCUAGGGGAGCGAACGGGAUUAGAUACCCCGGUAGUCCUAGCCGUAAACGAUGACCACUAGGUGUGCGGGGUAUCGACCCCCUGCGUGCCGCAGUUAACGCAAUAAGUGGUCCGCCUGGGGAGUACGGUCGCAAGAUUAAAACUCAAAGGAAUUGACG
Molecule: ribosomal RNA, 641 nt
Filed under: uncultured bacterium
Lineage: Bacteria
Description: SSU rRNA
Rfam family: Bacterial small subunit ribosomal RNA
Source: RNAcentral